This 514-nucleotide ribosomal RNA is filed under the name Awaous aeneofuscus (freshwater goby). RNAcentral's name for it is "partial large subunit ribosomal RNA". It matches the Rfam family "Bacterial large subunit ribosomal RNA", at positions 1923 to 2597 of the family's 2925-position model. Lineage: Eukaryota; Metazoa; Chordata; Actinopteri; Gobiiformes; Gobiidae. The record is from RNAcentral.
UUUAACGGCCGCGGUAUUUUGACCGUGCGAAGGUAGCGUAAUCACUUGUCUUUUAAAUGGAGACCUGUAUGAAUGGCAUAACGAGGGCUAAGCUGUCUCCUUUUUCCAGUCAAUGAAAUUAAUCUUCCCGUGCAGAAGCGGGAAUGAAUACAUAAGACGAGAAGACCCUAUGGAGCUUUAGACAAAAGGCAGAUAACAUAAAUUAACUGAAUAAACAGGACAAACAAAGUACCCCCUGCCCUCUGUCUUUGGUUGGGGCGACCGUGGGGAAACAAACAUCCCCCAUGUGGAAUGGGAACUAUCCUCAAAACCAGAGCCACAGCUCUAAUAAACAGAACUUCUGACCAAAAAGAUCCGGCAAGCCGAUCAACGGACCGAGUUACCCUAGGGAUAACAGCGCAAUCCCCUUUUAGAGCCCAUAUCGACAAGGGGGUUUACGACCUCGAUGUUGGAUCAGGACAUCCUAAUGGUGCAGCCGCUAUUAAGGGUUCGUUUGUUCAACGAUUAAAGUCCU